Molecule: ribosomal RNA, 460 nt
Filed under: uncultured bacterium
Lineage: Bacteria
Description: partial 16S ribosomal RNA
Rfam family: Bacterial small subunit ribosomal RNA
Source: RNAcentral
CCUACGGGUGGCAGCAGUGAGGAAUAUUGGUCAAUGGGCGAGAGCCUGAACCAGCCAAGUCGCGUGAAGGAUGAAGGCUCUAUGGUUUGUAAACUUCUUUUAUAUGGGAAUAAAAUGAUGAACGUGUUGGUUUUUGUAUGUACCAUAUGAAUAAGCAUCGGCUAACUCCGUGCCAGCAGCCGCGGUAAUACGGAGGAUGCGAGCGUUAUCCGGAUUUAUUGGGUUUAAAGGGAGCGUAGGUGGGUAAUUAAGUCAGUGGUGAAAGUUUGUGGCUCAACCAUAAAAUUGCCGUUGAAACUGGGUGACUUGAGUACAGUAGAGGUAGGCGGAAUUCGUGGUGUAGCGGUGAAAUGCUUAGAUAUCACGAAGAACUCCGAUUGCGAAGGCAGCUUACUGGACUGCAACUGACACUGAGGCUCGAAAGUGUGGGUAUCAAACAGGAUUAGAUACCCCUGUAGUC